This is a long non-coding RNA of Coturnix japonica (Japanese quail), 1845 nucleotides long. The record is from Ensembl. NCBI's taxonomy places the organism in Eukaryota, Metazoa, Chordata, Aves, Galliformes, Phasianidae.
GGGAUGUUUGAGACCAUGGAGCUGCUGCGCAGCGUCCCCCCCCCGGGGCUGCACGAGGAUCUGCUGGUGCAACAGGUGGGGUGAUAUGGGGUCUAUGGGGCGCUAUGGGGCUCUAUGGGGCUCUAUGGGGUCACUAUGGGGCUCUAUGGGUCUCUAUGGGGUCUCUAUGGGGCGCUAUGGGGCUCUAUGGGGCGAUAUGGGUCACUAUGGGGCUCUAUGGGUCACUAUGGGGCUCUAUGGGGUCUCUAUGGGGUGUUAUUGGGUUGUUAUGGGGCUCUAUGGGGCUAUAUGGGGUCACUAUGGGGCUCUAUGGGGUCUCUAUGGGGUGCUAUGGGGUCACUGUGGGGCACUAUGGGGCUCUAUGGGGUCACUGUGGGGCACUAUGGGGCUCUAUGGGGCGCUAUGGGGUCUCUAUGGGGCUCUAUGGGGUCUCUAUGGGGUUCUGUGGGGUGAUAUGGGGGGAUAUGGGGUCCCUAUGGGGUGAUAUGGGGUCUCUAUGGGGUCCCUAUGGGGUGAUAUGGGGUCUCUAUGGGGUGAUAUGGGGCUAUAUGGGAGAUCUAUGGGGUGAUAUGGGGUCUCUAUGGGGUCUAUGGGGGAUCCAUGGGGUUAUAUGGGGGGAUGUGGGGGGAUCUAUGGGGUCUAUGAGGUGAUAUGGGGUCUCUAUGGGGUCCCUAUGGGGCUCUGUGGGGUGCUAUGGGGCUCUAUGGGGCACUAUGGGGUCCCUAUGGGGUCUAUGGGGUGCUAUGGGGCUCUGUGGGGUGCUAUGGGGCGCUAUGGGAUCUCUAUGAGUCCCUAUGGGUCCCUAUGGGUCCCUAUGGGGUCCCUAUGGGUCUCUAUUGGUUCCCUAUGGGUCCCUAUGGGGUCCCUAUGGGUCUCUAUGGGUCUCUAUGUGUCCCUAUGGGUCCCUAUGGGUCUCUAUGUGUCCCUAGGGGGUCCCUAUGGGUCUCUAUGGGUCCCAAUGGGUCUCUAUGGGUCCCAGUGGGUCUCUAUGGGGUCCCUAUGGGUCCCAAUGGGUCUCUAUGGGUCCCAGUGGGUCUCUAUGGGGUCUCUAUGGGGUCUCUAUGGGUCUCUAUGGGGUCUCUAUGGGGUCUCUAUGGGUCCCAAUGGGUCUCUAUGGGUCCCAGUGGGUCUCUAUGGGGUCUCUAUGGGGUCUCUAUGGGUCUCUAUGGGGUCUCUGUGGGUCUCUAUGGGUCCCUAUGGGGUCUCUAUGGGGCUCUAUGGGGCGCUAUGGGUCACUAUGGGGCUCUAUGGGUCUCUAUGGGGUCUCUAUGUGGUCUCUAUGGGGUCUCUAUGUGGUCUCUAUGGGUCCCAAUGGGUCUCUAUGGGGUCUCUAUGGGUCCCAAUGGGUCUCUAUGGGUCUCUAUGGGGUCUCUAUGGGGUUAUAUGGGGUCUCUAUGGGGAGAUAUGCGGGGAAUAUGGGGGGUAAUAAGGUCUCUAUAGGGUUAUAUGGGGGUAAUGGGGUUAUAUGGGGGGAUAUGGGGUCUCUAUAGGGUUAUAUGGGGUCUCUAUAGGGUUAUAUGGGGGGAUAUGGGGGCUAUAUAGGGUUAUAUGGGGGGAUAUGGGGUCUCUAUAGGGUUAUAUGGGGUUAUAUGGGGGGAUAUGGGGUCUCUAUAGGGUUAUAUGGGGUCUCUAUGGGGAGAUAUAGGGUUAAUAAUGUGGAUAUGGGUUCCUAUGAAUGGAUGGGGGGGUUCCGGUUCCGGUUCCCGUUUCCGGUUCCGGUUCUCACCUGACACGCGUCGCGCGCCCCCUGCCGGUACCCGGCACAAACCGUGUCCGCAGCCGGAAGUGCCACGUGACCGUCCCGACCCGGACGGGAAUAAAAACAACGACAACGACGACGGGACA